RNAcentral lists this ribosomal RNA (468 nucleotides) under uncultured bacterium. Its description in RNAcentral is "partial 16S ribosomal RNA". It matches the Rfam family "Bacterial small subunit ribosomal RNA", at positions 28 to 507 of the family's 1533-position model. The record is from RNAcentral.
GACGAACGCUGGCGGCGUGCUUAACACAUGCAAGUCGAACGGAAAGGCCCUGCUUUUGUGGGGUGCUCGAGUGGCGAACGGGUGAGUAACACGUGAGUAACCUGCUCUUGACUUUGGGAUAACUUCAGGAAACUGGGGAUAAUACCGGAUAGGAGCUCCUGCUGCAUGGUGGGGGUUGGAAAGUUUCGGCGGUUGGGGAUGGACUCGCGGCUUAUCAGCUUGUUGGUGGGGUAGUGGCUUACCAAGGCUUUGACGGGUAGCCGGCCUGAGAGGGUGACCGGCCACAUGGGGACUGAGAUACGGCCCAGACUCCUACGGGAGGCAGCAGUGGGGAAUAUUGCACAAUGGGCGGAAGCCUGAUGCAGCAACGCCGCGGGCGGGAUGACGGCCUUCGGGUUGUAAACCGCUUUCGCCUGUGACGAAGCGUGAGUGACGGUAAUGGGUAAAGAAGCACCGGCUAACUACGUG